This 28-nucleotide non-coding RNA is filed under the name Bombyx mori (domestic silkworm). The record is from RNAcentral. Lineage: Eukaryota; Metazoa; Arthropoda; Insecta; Lepidoptera; Bombycidae.
UAUACGCUGCUGGAGUUGGGCCACGUAU